RNAcentral lists this transfer RNA (73 nucleotides) under Clostridia bacterium. RNAcentral's name for it is "tRNA-Thr". It matches the Rfam family "tRNA". From Rfam's summary of the family: Transfer RNA (tRNA) molecules are approximately 80 nucleotides in length. Their secondary structure includes four short double-helical elements and three loops (D, anti-codon, and T loops). RNAcentral also lists the same sequence under 1 other name. The record is from RNAcentral. Lineage: Bacteria; Bacillati; Bacillota; Clostridia.
GCUCCUGUAGCUCAGUCGGCAGAGCGUCGCCUUGGUAAGGCGGAGGUCAGCAGUUCAAGUCUGCCCGGGAGCU